Molecule: non-coding RNA, 72 nt
Organism: Candidatus Omnitrophica bacterium CG1_02_43_210
Lineage: Bacteria; Pseudomonadati; Candidatus Omnitrophota
Source: Rfam
UGCGGGGUGGAGCAGCGGUAGCUCGUCAGGCUCAUAACCUGAAGGCCGACGGUUCGAUUCCGUCCCCCGCUA